This 175-nucleotide small RNA is filed under the name Arabidopsis thaliana (thale cress). Its description in RNAcentral is "ATSL065360". Lineage: Eukaryota; Viridiplantae; Streptophyta; Magnoliopsida; Brassicales; Brassicaceae. The record is from RNAcentral.
AUACCAAUGGAAUGCAUAAAAUCAUCCCAUAACGGUCACAUCUGCUUCCAUCCAAAAUCAUCACUCCUUUUUUCAUCUUCAGAAAACGCGGUAAGUACUGCACCCGAAAGUUAAAAAUUAAAAAGUGACAUGUAAAUGUACACGUAACCAAAAUUAUAUAAUUCGCGUUGGCUAA